RNAcentral lists this ribosomal RNA (466 nucleotides) under uncultured bacterium. RNAcentral describes it as "bacterial SSU rRNA". It matches the Rfam family "Bacterial small subunit ribosomal RNA", at positions 28 to 494 of the family's 1533-position model. The record is from RNAcentral.
GACGAACGCUGGCGGCGUGCCUAACACAUGCAAGUCAACUUGACUGAAGGAGCAAUCUGACAGUAGAGUGGCGCAAGGGUGCGUAACGCGUAAGUAACUUGCCCAAGGUAAGGAAUAACGUCGAGAAAUCGGCGCUAAUACCUCAUAAUGCAGCGGAUUCCGCAUGGAUAUGUUGUUAAAGGUUUACCGCCUUGGGAUAGGCUUGCGUCUGAUUAGCUAGUUGGUGUGGUAACGGCACACCAAGGCUACGAUCAGUAACUGGUCUGAGAGGAUGAUCAGUCACACUGGAACUGAGACACGGUCCAGACUCCUACGGGAGGCAGCAGUGAGGAAUAUUGGGCAAUGCUCGAAAGAGUGACUCAGCAACGCCGCGUGGAGGAUGAAGGUAUUCUAUAUCGUAAACUCCUGUGAGAGCAGACGAAAGACAGAUUAUAAUCUGGAUGACUGUAUGCUCAGAGGAAGCCCC